GACGAACGCUGGCGGCGUGCUUAACACAUGCAAGUCGAACGGAAAGGCCCUGCUUUUGUGGGGUGCUCGAGUGGCGAACGGGUGAGUAACACGUGAGUAACCUGCCCUUGACUUUGGGAUAACUUCAGGAAACUGGGGCUAAUACCGGAUAGGAGCUCCUGCUGCAUGGUGGGGGUUGGAAAGUUUCGGCGGUUGGGGAUGGACUCGCGGCUUAUCAGCUUGUUGGUGGGGUAGUGGCUUACCAAGGCUCUGACGGGGUAGCCGGCCUGAGAGGGUGACCGGCCACAUUGGGACUGAGAUACGGCCCAGACUCCUACGGGAGGCAGCAGUGGGGAAUAUUGCACAAUGGGCGGAAGCCUGAUGCAGCAACGCCGCGUGCGGGAUGACGGCCUUCGGGUUGUAAACCGCUUUCGCCUGUGACGAAGCGUGAGUGACGGUAAUGGGUAAAGAAGCACCGGCUAACUACGUG
RNAcentral lists this ribosomal RNA (469 nucleotides) under uncultured bacterium. RNAcentral describes it as "partial 16S ribosomal RNA". It matches the Rfam family "Bacterial small subunit ribosomal RNA", at positions 28 to 507 of the family's 1533-position model. The record is from RNAcentral.